This 484-nucleotide ribosomal RNA is filed under the name uncultured bacterium. RNAcentral's name for it is "partial 16S ribosomal RNA". It matches the Rfam family "Bacterial small subunit ribosomal RNA", at positions 28 to 507 of the family's 1533-position model. The record is from RNAcentral.
GUCGAACGCUGGCGGCAGGCCUAACACAUGCAAGUCGAGCGGAUGAAGCGAGCUUGCUCCUGGAUUCAGCGGCGGACGGGUGAGUAAUGCCUAGGAAACUGCCUGGUAGUGGGGGAUAACGUCCGGAAACGGGCGCUAAUACCGCAUCUGUUCUGAGGGAGAAAGUGGGGGUUCUUCGGACCUCACGCUAUCAGAUGAGCCUAGGUCGGAUUAGCUAGUUGGUGGGGUAAAGGCCUACCAAGGCGAAGAUCCGUAACUGGUCCGAGAGGAUGAUCAGGCACACUGGAACUGGGACACGGUCCAGACUCCGACGGGAGGCAGCAGUAGGGAUGAUUGGACAAUGGGCGAAAGCCUGAGCCAGCCGUGGCGCGUGUGUGAAGAAGGUCUUCGGAUUGUAGAGCUCUUUAAGUUGGGAGGAAGGGCAGUAAGUUAGUACCUAGCUGUUUUGACGUUACCAGCAGAAGAAGCACCGGCUAACUUCGUG